GGUCCCGCCUGCCCUGUGACUAUUAGUUUAACGGCCGCGGUAUCCUGACCGUGCGAAGGUAGCGCAAUCACUUGUCUUUUAAAUGAAGACCUGUAUGAAUGGCCUAACGAGGGCUUAACUGUCUCCUUUUUCUAGUCAAUGAAAUUGAUCUCCCCGUGCAGAAGCGGGGAUACUUACAUAAGACGAGAAGACCCUAUGGAGCUUUAGACGACAAGUCGGUUCACAUAAUCAACCUAUAAUUAAAAGAGUGAACCAAAUGAAUCCCGACUUAAUGUCUUUGGUUGGGGCGACCGCGGGGAAACAAAAAACCCCCAUGUGGAAUGAAAGCGAGACACUUUUACAAACCUGAGCCACACCUCUAGUUAACAGAAUUUCUGACCGAAAGAUCCGGCAAAGCCGAUCAACGGACCGAGUUACCCUAGGGAUAACAGCGCAAUCCCCUUUUAGAGCCCAUAUCGACAAGGGGGUUUACGACCUCGAUGUUGGAUCAGGACAUCCUAAUGGUGCAGCCGCUAUUAAGGGUUCG
This 526-nucleotide ribosomal RNA is filed under the name Hoplichthys citrinus (lemon ghost flathead). RNAcentral's name for it is "partial 16S ribosomal RNA". It matches the Rfam family "Bacterial large subunit ribosomal RNA", at positions 1851 to 2575 of the family's 2925-position model. Lineage: Eukaryota; Metazoa; Chordata; Actinopteri; Perciformes; Hoplichthyidae. The record is from RNAcentral.